AAGCAAGGACAAGAGGGGGGAGGAAGGGGGGAGCCAAGCCAGACAAGCGCCUGAGUGAUAACUUGCCUGAACCCUUUGAUAAAUGAGUUGACUCUCCCCCCCCCCCUUUAUUUUUUUUUCCCCUUCAUUCGCCACACGCCAGGAACAGAAUUGGCCCCGAACUAGUGGAAUUGGCAGCAAAAAAACUAACAUACAAGUGUGUCUGGUCAAUAGAGCGCUUGUUCCUGCCUCUGGGUGCUGUGUGAGGACGCCGGCUGGAUGCUGGAGACACGCAAAGGGUUUUUCUUUGCUCGCCCCUUUCUCUCUUGCUCCGUCUUUUUAAAAUAUUCAUCAAUGGGGUGGGUAGUUUGCUCUAGUCAUUAAAAUAUCUCCUUCCCCUCCCCCUCGCUUGCUCUAGGACUGCCACUGUUGAGUCUGUGGGAGUAUGAAUCAGCAGCAGCAGCAGAGAAUGGCUGCAGUUGGGACAGACAAAGAGCUCAGUGACCUGCUGGACUUCAGUAUGAUGUUUCCCCUGCCAGUGGCUAAUGGAAAAAACAGACCCACGACCCUAGCGAGCACUCAGUUUGGAGGAUCAGGUUUGGAUGAAAGACCAGGAUCAGGUUCCUGGGGAACGGGAGAUCAAAACAGCUCCACAUUUGACCAAGGAAGGCAGAGCUAUGGUGAAGGCCCCCACUAUGGCGAGCACAGGGACCUGCCACCUCACAACAGCAUAUCUUCAUCACCAUUCCUGGGAGCUGGGCUCGUGGGGAAGAGCAGUGAAAGAACCUCGUACUCCACGUUUGGAAGAGACACAGGGAUGCCAGGACUAAACCAGGCCGGUUUCCUGCCCACCGAGAUGGGAAUCGCCAGUCCCAGCACACUUUCCCCCACCGGGGUGAAAGGGGGGUCUCAGUAUUUUUCUUACCCCAACAAUCCUCGCAGGAGAGGUGCUGACAGCAGCGUAGAUGGACAGCCCAAAAAGGUUCGGAAGGUGCCUCCUGGACUCCCCUCCUCGGUGUAUCCAUCCAACUCAGGUGACGACUACAGCAGGGAUCCAGCUGGAUAUACUCCCUCGAAACCUCCCAGCACUGUGUAUCCCGGAGCCUUUUAUAUGGCAGACGGGCUCCAUAACUCGCCAGACCUGUGGAGUUCUCCGGGUGCCAUGAGCCAGUCGAGUUACGGUGCCAUGCUGGGCAGCUCCUCCUCCCCACUCCCGCCGGCCAGUGGCUUCAACAGUUUACACCAGCACGAACGCAUGAACUACCAGCUUCAUUCAGGAGAGGUUAACGGCGGGCUCCCCUCCGUGUCUGGCUUCUCCUCUGCCUCCACGCCAUACGGUGUCUCCAGUCACACACCUCCCAUCAGUGGCACGGACAGCAUGAUGGGUAACAGAGGAACCACAGCCGGGAGCUCAGGAGACGCACUCGGGAAGGCACUAGCUUCAAUUUACUCCCCGGAUCACUCUAGCAAUAACUUCUCGUCAAACCCCUCCACACCGGUCGGCUCCCCUCAGGGGCUUGCAGGCACAUCCCAGUGGUCGCGAGCAAGCGGACAGGGUGCCUUAUCUCCCAGCUACGAAGGGAGCCUCCACACUUUACAAAACAAAAUGGAAGACAGGUUGGAUGAAGCCAUCCACGUGCUGAGGAAUCACGCUGUGGGCCAGACAGCCGCCAUGCCGAGCAACCAUGGGGACAUGCACGGCCUGCUGGGCUCAGCGCCGGCCCACAGUGCCACCGUGGGCAGCUUGGGCCAGGCCUUCCCGGCCUCAGUCAUGUCCCUGGGGAACAGGCACCCGAGUCUGGUGGGAGGAGGUCACCCAGAAGAUGGGUUGUCCAGCAACCCCAACAUGCUCCACAACCAUGUUACACUUCCAUCACAACCCAGCUCACUCCCUGACCUCAGCAGGCAGCAGGACACGUACAGCGCAGGCUUGUCAGGGGGGCUGGGGCGAAGCAGCGUCUCCUCGGGAACCAGCGAAAUAAAGAGGGAAGAGAAGGAGGACGAGGAGAACACGUCGGUGGCAGAUAACUCAGAAGAGGAGAAGAAGGAGCUGAAACCCUCCAGGAACAGAACAAGGUGCUCUUUGAACAGUCAAGAUGAGGAUGAGGAGGACGAUCUUCUUCCCCCAGAGCAAAAAGCCGAGAGAGAGAGAGAAAGGAGGGUCGCCAAUAAUGCCCGUGAGCGCCUGCGGGUCCGUGACAUCAACGAGGCCUUUAAAGAGCUCGGACGCAUGUGCCAACUCCACCUAAACAGCGAAAAACCGCAGACCAAACUGCUAAUCCUACACCAGGCCGUAUCAGUCAUACUGAACCUGGAGCAACAAGUUAGAGCAGUACAGACGAGGCCUUGUCACUGGAGGACAAAGAUCUGAGGGACCGGGAGAGGAGAAUGGCCAAUAACGCCAGGGAAAGGGUGCGUGUGCGGGACAUUAACGAGGCCUUUAAAGAACUGGGACGCAUGUGUCAGAUGCACUUAAAAACGGACAAAGCACAGACCAAACUGAUCAUCCUACAGCAAGCGGUGCAGGUCAUUCUGGGCCUGGAGCAGCAAGUACGAGAGCGCAAUCUGAACCCUAAAGCAGCCUGCUUGAAGCGUCGGGAAGAGGAGAAAGUGUCCGGAGUAGUAGGAGAUCCCCAGAUGACACUUUCAGCUUCACAUCCUGGUCUAGGAGAUGGUCACAACCCUGUUGGACACAUGUAAAGAUCUGUUUCUUCUUCUGGAUCCAGAGAUCUGUAGGAAGAAAACCCUCGGUGUGGCCUGCAACCUUCUCUACCCAUAAACUUUAGUACUGCUAAUACUGACACACGUGGACGGAUCCUGGCGUGACGUAAGGGGUGGAAAACACACACCUUGUCAAAAACAAACAAACAAAAAUUGCCUUAAGUAUAAAGUGCAGAACAGUCAAUACAUAUCACUCAGUUAGGAGGGGGUGGCGUGUUCUCUUGGCUUGUUCACAAGCAGCCAGCAGCAAAAUUGUGCCUAAGCUUGAUAUUUCUUUUUUAAAACAAAAAAAAAAGAACAUUAGUUAUGAGAUUUUUUUAUGUAGAACAAAUAGCAAUGCCUUUGGGUUGGUUUUUUUUUUUAGCUUCUUUUGCAUAUGUUUUGUAAGCAACGAAAAGAAUUUUUUUUUGUAUAAAAAAAAAAAAGUCUUGUACCCCACAUGCUUUUCUGCUGCUGUUUCUAUAGUUAAUGUUGCAUCUUUAGAAUCAACCAGAAUAUUAAAAUUGUAUUAAGAGAGACUGGAUAUAAAGAGAGGAAUUCUCAGAUUCGGCUCUGCAAGCCACUAAAAGCGAAUGUAGCCACAGCAAGGGGAUGUUCUUUCUUGCUUGGCUUGUACCUUCCAUUAGACAAAAACAAACUCAUGUGCUGAAGUCACCAUCUCUUUGCUUUUGGCCGCUUCUGAGUUGGGAAAAGGAAGUUAAACAGCAAAGCCAGUUGCAGCAGCAUCCGUCAGCUGUGCUCCCACUCCUUCUGGGAGGUGACCAAGGGCCAUUGAGGGUCUCUGCAAGAUUUGCUUUACUCCUGGAACAUCCCAGAAGCUGCAAUCCCACCUGGGAGAGGAAGUGCCCCACAGCCCACUCGCAACAUUGUGAUCCUGGAGCUGCCAGGAGGGAGCAGGCCUUGGGGGUGGAAGAGAACCGAGGGACUGGGACACUUUCAAGGUAAGCAAAGAAUCAACACAGAGGCAAGAGGAAAGCCCUGGCCGGAGGGAAGCGCUCCUUGCCCCUGCAUCCAAGCAAACGCCUGCUCCCAGAGGCGCUCCCAGAGGCACUUCCCGGGGCAGCGUGGAACAAAGAUGAACUGAACAAAGCUGGAGGACUGGGAAGAGGCCGAGGUGGAUGGAGCAAAGGCAGCAGCAGGACACGGUGCCAGCAAUCUUGCAGCAGCCAGAGCCAUGGAUGCUGGCGGCAGGCAGGGGAGCAGCGACCUGGCUCAUGCGCUCACUCCAGCCCUCAGCAAGCUGGGACCAGCAGCAGGAUCCAGCGCAACUUCUCCUCUCACUGGAGCCACCCCACCAGAAGGGCAGAACACUGCAGGCUUGUGGGGAGGGGUGGUGUCAUACCCCACCUUCACCCCCUGUCAUAUCUCCAAUCCAAUCCAAUCCAAUUAGAGGCAAUCUCAGCUCGGCACACUGCCUGGCUUGCCAUGGGGAUGUGAAGUGGCCACCAUCACCUCCACGUUGGCUCUUCUCUCCGUGCUGGAAAGGAGGGGAGCAAUGAGCACCCAUCCUGCACACCAUGCUCCAGCAGCCAAGCCAACAAUUCCUUCACUCCAAGGGCUUCCCAGUGUCACUUCUGACCACUCCGGUGUGCUCAGCGGGAGGAAGACCCUUAGCAUGCCUGGAGGUGCAGGAGCAAAUGAAGAGAUGCUCAGUGGUGCUGAGCUGUUGGUAGCCAUUCUGGAGUUGGCAAUGGAAAAGCAUCUACUGGAAAUUUAUUCUUGUUUCUUCCCUCUCCUUCCCCUUCUGAAGCAUGUUGUGCCCAGUUCUUCCCGGCUCUGCAGGUGGAUAGGGGUAGCUCCGGGGGGAACAAGUUAAAUCUCAUCUCAGAGGUGGCUGUAAUGCUCUUGGACUGGGGCUGGCUGCUGCGCAGAUCUGCCUGGCAGAGCCCAAUCGGGCAGGAUAGUUCAUGGGGCACGACUGCUGGUCGGGGGGGACAUGGGGACAGCAAGUACAGUAGGACCUGCAGCAGCAGGACCCAUCUCUCCCCUCUGCUUCUCUGGCCUGUGUUCCUGGGAAAGCUGUAUUGCUUUGGCAUAGGGAAAGGGCAGGACUGGCACACAAGAUGAAGUCCUACAGCACUUCCUAGCAAUCCCGGGCUUUGGUAUAACCUCCUGGUGCUCCUCUGUGCUCAUUGCUAUGCUUUGUGCUCCAGCAAAAUCUGCUGGAAAUGCUCAGGACAUUGAUCAUCUCCCACCUACACCUGGGUACCAUGGGCUCAGCCUCUGUAGCAUCUCAGAGAGGAGAUAAACUGCCAGAGCAGCAUGGAACCAUCUCUCUGCUGCCCCUGGCACUCUGCAACAUCCCACCAUAGCUCUGAGGCUUCCAUGUGCUCCUGGCUUUCCCAGCCUACAGCCUGCUGCUGCCACCAUCGCUUCUGUGUGGUGAGACCUGAGACCACAGCAGCCUCCAGCUCCAGGAAGGCUGGAAGGAUCAGUGGCUGUGGUCUCUGCAGCCGAGGAACAUGCGUUCUUCUCACCUGUGUCAACAGACAUGUUUCAGCCUAAUGAACUUAGGCUGUAACCUUUCAGUCAGGUUACAACACUCUUCCCUCCUUUGGGUCCUUCUGCCUGCUGAAGCACUGGGCAGUGUGAGGCAGAUGAGGUUUUCUUCCAUGGGUGACAGCAUUCCCCUGGGGAGCAGAUCCCCUUGCAGUACAAGCCAUGUCUUCCUGAAGCAUCCUGCCAUGUUGGGUUGUGCUUCAGAUGCUGGAGCAAGUGAAACAUGCAGGGAGGGGACAGUGCCUCUCUGCAGCCAGGUCUGGAUGCUGACACAACCCCUAUUUGUGCACUGCGGUAGGAACUGGAGACUCACCGGCUGCUCUCUGCUUCAUCCCACGAGCAGUCUUGCCCUUUCAUAAGGAUGGUGCUGAAGCCAUUGGCGUGCUCGAUGCUCAGGAUGUUCUGCUUCAAUGCCACUGCCCCAGGACCAGGGAGGGGUGGAGCAAUGUCCCAGCCCUGGCAAGCUUGAAACCAUGCAAAUAAAAAAAAAAACACAAAAAAAAAAGGAAGUGCUUCCCAACACUUGGAUUUUGUAACAAGCAUUUGAGGUGACGGUCAUGUACAACUGGAUUUGAGAGAGAUUGUAGCCAAGAAAAACCUGGAAACUCAACACAAUUGGAAAUUUGAGAAGAUUGAUGAUUCGUUCAACUCCUUCAUCCUGGCUGAUGCUCUGCAGGCCAGGGGGGACUCCUGAUGAAACGGAGCCUUUCCCACCAUCCCCACACCACCAGGCAUUGCAACAGAGAUGGGGCUUUUCAUCUGCAUUUAGGUGGUUUAGAUGCUGUUUCCUUGACAGCAAAACCAGCUUAAUGCCCUCGGCAAGGUUUGGAUGAAGGUCCUCAAACAUAAACCCUCCUUGGUGCCAGGGUUUGGAGGAGAUCUUGAUUGCUCCAGCAGGAAAGCGCAGUGUCGGGGGCUGGUAGUGCCCAGGAGCUGUCUCAGUGCCCAGGGAUCAAUUGUGGAAUGUGGCAAGGAAAAAUUCCUUUGGCUUGCCAGCGUGUUUGGCUCGGUGUGAAUGUGGUGCCUAUAACCUGACAGGGAAAGUGACUUUUCUGAAAAUAUGCACUGUUGGGUACUGCCCUCAAAAUGCCACCAAGCCUGCCCUGAAAUAUCAGCCUGUUGAAAUGAGACUUUUGUCUUUAUGUGUCAUGGUCAGAGAGGGCCAGGGUCUGUGCCCUCUCCAGCCCGUGGCUCUGCAGGCAUUCAGCUGUGCCAUUUACAGAUCACUUUUCUCCCCAGACUUGCUUCUCUGCCUGUAUGCGUGUCCCUCACAAAGAGAGGUGUCACGGGGAGGUGACAUGCUGCAGAGUGGCAUUUACUGUUCUGCUUCCUUUCUCAGCCUUGCAUGCAUGGGUUCUCCUGGGCUGUGUCCCCUUCAUCACUGGGGGCCACAACCCCCCUGCAAAGCUUCCUUCUUCAGAAAGGGACCUGGGGAAGAAGCCACCUUCCCCUGUGUGCAUUCUCUAGUUUCUCAUUUCCCAGGCUGCAGUCACAGAGCUGCAUCAAACGGCACAACUGGGGUCCCAGGGACACAACUUCCAUGGAAAGCUGCUUGUGUGGCACCUACCCUUGGUUUGGCCUGUGACCCACCAGUCAGACCUGCUCACAGCCGAGCAACUGGCGUGGCUUGAGUGCAGCUCCAGCUCUUUGCCAACAUCUCCUCGGGCUCUCUGCUCCCUGCUUUUACAGCUUGCACUAGGUAUCCUACAGAGGUGUGCUGGCAGGACCUGGGACAUCUGGAUCCCGCUCUGUGCCACUCUAGUCUGCACUGAGAGCAAGGGGCACAGCGGUGCCAAGGCAGAUGGUUUGCAUGCAUUGAUCCUGCAUCUGGCUGUCAGUAGCAGGUCGAUGCCAGCCCCCAGGCAGUGGGGUCAAUGUGCUGCCCCUUCCUUGUGCACCAUCACUGCAGGGCCAGGGGUCUGGAUGCUUUGCAGUUGGGGUUUUUUGCCCUGCCCAGUAGAGAAAUGCAGAAGUGUGAUGUGAAACCUCCCCAAGUGUGACUUCAGUGAAGGGGUUUUUCUCUCAGCCUGUGUGUCGGUGAUGAGCUGGGUUCCUAGAGGCUUGGCAGUUGCUGCCUGGUAGUGUUUGAACAGGAAGGAAAGAGGCAGGCUGGGAUUUCCCCAGGAGUCUGCAAUUUCAGGUUCAGUGCACAAGCUGCUCACAAAGGUCCUUCGUGUCUCACGCAUGUACCCACUAAAGCCAGCAGAGCCUUUGGACCCUGGGCCCUUGCUGUGCCAUUCAGCACAUCCUUCCCCUUGGCAGAUGGGGAGGGGGCCUUGAGAAACAGGAGGCUUUGGAAAACCCCGAUCCUCUGCACCCCUCAGCUUUGCUCCCAUGGGGAGGCUGCCAACUUCAGUGCCAGUGGAGCAAAUAGUCCUCUUGCAGGCCCUGCUGUGUGCUGUGCUGGUGGCUCUGGCCUGGGAUUUCAGAACAGAGCUGAAAAUGAGGAAGUGAAGCAAAGCUGGUACUGGAGUUGGGCCAGGACAAGCCAUCAGCCCCCAAGGUGCGGUGCUGGCUCACCUGGAGCAAGCCAUGGCCACUGGAUUCCCCUGUUCCUGCUCAACACCAGCAAUAGCAAGACCUGUUUUCUGUACCAUAAGCUUGCACAAGGUCUUUGCCCUGUUAAUCCUAUGCAACUCCCUCUCCUCUCCCCUGGGGCCCUCCAGAUCCUGUCCCAGUCCAUUCUUUCUGCUCUUGCCCAUGACUGCUGAGUUCCUGCUCCCUGCUGCUCUUAGAGUCCAGCUUCAUUUCUAGCAGCUCCAAAAGCAUUUCAAGGUGUGUGCUCUGGAGCUGGAAGGGGGUAGAGAAGGGGUGAGACCAUAGGAAUAUCCCUUCCAACUCAUGCUGCAGGAGCUGAGCACUGAAUUGGAGAGGGCAAGGCCUGGUCCUAGGGCUCCUCCAUGCACCCUUCACCCUCCUGUGCCUUCUGCUCAAUACUUGGUGGCUCACUGCCAGCAUCCUUCAUCUCACACUGUCUCCCCCAGUACCACUUGAAUGGAGAAGCUGUGUCCCACCUUAUUGCUGCCCAGCUCUACAGACUGCUCUGUUAAUGCCCGAGCCUUGGGCUUGGCUUGGCUGGUCUUCCUUCAACUUCCUCAAGGCUAAAGAUGUGUAUUCCUUCCUCCUGUGUACCCCAGUCUCCGCAGCCAGCACCUCCAAGCUAUUUCCCUUCAUGCACAGGCACCAUGGGUCUCUUCGCAGUGCGGCGGGACCAAGCCACCGUCUGCCCAUCUGCUGGGGCAGAGGCUUGAGGAUUCAGGAGAUGGAUGCUGUGGGUCAGUCCCAUGGCGUAGCUGUCUCUCCUCAUCCUGCUGCCUUGGGCUGGUGUGGGAGGACCCGGUGCUCUGCACAGAGGUUUGAUCUUCAAUUCACUCCUUCUGGAGAAUCAGCACUGCAGUGCCUUUGCCUGUGGGACUCCUGCAUGAGCCGAGCAUGGAGGUGGGCUCUGGUUAAGACAAUGCAGGCUGCGGGUGUCCUUUCUGCCAAACCUUGUGUGUCCAUCUUGCACCCCACCCUCUGGGGAUGCAAGAGGCAGCUCUGCCAUACAUCUCCACACUGGUAUUUCUGUUCCUCUGCUUUUGUACACCUUGAGUUUUGCAAUACCCACCGUGGUCCAGCCAAGCACCCACCAAGUUGGAAGGAGAGGGAAUAAAACUCAUUCCCUGUCACAUCUUGAUAUAGUGCAGGAGAGCACAGGGCUUUGUGCCUCAGAAUGGGGUGCCCCGGACACUGAGGCCUUUUGCUAAAGAGCAUCCCUGGGCUGUGCCACGGGAUCUGUGGAGCUCCCCAUGGCAGCGAGCUGGGGACCACCAUGGUUCCCCCUUCCCGGUGCUACGUCUUCCCAAAUCACUUGAAACCCACCAGCGUUUGAGCCCAACCACAUGCCUGGACCUGCAGCCUGCAGGAAAUGACCCCUUUUCUCUGGAGGGCUCCAGCUCAAUGGGGAAACAAAGUGUUCCUGGGUUGCUCUUUCGCUCUAUUUUUGUAGGACAGGGGGUGGGAGAUCCCUGCAGAAGUUGUUUAUUAUUCACCCCAUAGAAAGUUUUGGGUUGGUUUUGGAGGUUUUUUUGGCCUUCAAAAACAAACAAAAAAAAAUGGUCCUUGCUUUUGAUGUUUAUGCUGCCUACCUGUAAAUCCAGAUGUACUUAAGUGGCUGAAAUCCUUGUUCUUAAAUCAGAUACACAUUAUAGUUUUGAACUAUAUAUAUAGUAAAUAUAUAUAUAUAUGCCUAACCCAGCAAAAAAAAGAAAAAAAAAAGUAUUUGGGGGUGGGGAAAUGCGUUGUCCUUUGAAAUGAAUCACAAUUGGGGGAUAAAA
Molecule: RNA transcript, 9515 nt
Organism: Strigops habroptila (Kakapo)
Lineage: Eukaryota; Metazoa; Chordata; Aves; Psittaciformes; Psittacidae
Gene: TCF3
Gene name: transcription factor 3
Exons: 20
Source: RefSeq, a predicted model, not a curated record